Molecule: ribosomal RNA, 523 nt
Filed under: uncultured Glomus
Lineage: Eukaryota; Fungi; Glomeromycota; Glomeromycetes; Glomerales; Glomeraceae
Description: SSU rRNA
Rfam family: Eukaryotic small subunit ribosomal RNA
Source: RNAcentral
CCAGCAGCCGCGGUAAUUCCAGCUCCAAUAGCGUAUAUUAAAGUUGCUGCAGUUAAAAAGCUCGUAGUUGAAUUUCGGGACCAUCAUGUCGGUCGUGCCUCGGUACGUACUGGCAUUGUUGGUUUCUCCCUUCUGAAGAACCAUGAUGUCAUUAAUUUGGUGUCUUGGGGAAUCAGGACUGUUACUUUGAAAAAUUAGAGUGUUUAAAGCAGGCUCGCGCUUGAAUACAUUAGCAUGGAAUAAUGAAAUAGGACGUUUGAUUCUAUUUUGUUGGUUUCUAGGAUCGACGUAAUGAUUAAUAGGGAUAGUUGGGGGCAUUAGUAUUCAAUUGUCAGAGGUGAAAUUCUUGGAUUUAUUGAAGACUAACUACUGCGAAAGCAUUUGCCAAGGAUGUUUUCAUUAAUCAAGAACGAAAGUUAGGGGAUCGAAGACGAUCAGAUACCGUCGUAGUCUUAACCAUAAACUAUGCCGACUAGGGAUCGGAUGAUGUUAAUUUUUUUAAUGACUCAUUCGGCGCCUUACG